RNAcentral lists this unclassified non-coding RNA (363 nucleotides) under uncultured Ktedonobacteria bacterium. RNAcentral describes it as "contains 16S-23S intergenic spacer region". Lineage: Bacteria; Bacillati; Chloroflexota; Ktedonobacteria. The record is from RNAcentral.
UCCGGUUUGUUUCCGGCAGUCUCUCUAGAUAUUCAACUAGAAACGAGGGUUGCGCUCGUUGCGGGACUUAACCCAACAUCUCACGACACGAGCUGACGACAGCCAUGCAGCAUCUGUCUAUCCGUCCCUUGCGGGAGGCAGUUGUUUCCAACUGUUGCGAAUAGAUGUCAAGCCCAGGUAAGGUUCUUCGCGUUGCAUCGAAUUAAACCACACGCUCCGCUGCUUGUGCGGGUCCCCGUCAAUUCCUUUGAGUUUUAGUCUUGCGACCGUACUCCCCAGGCGGGCCACUUAAUGCGUUAGCUUCGGCACGGAAGGGGUCAACACCCCCCACACCUAGUGGCCAUCGUUUACUGCUAGGACUAC